GAACAAGCAAAGGACCAUGCGCUGUGUAAGCCAGUUUGUCAGUCUGGGAAUAUCCAAUUUAAAAUAUGAUGUGUUCUUCAAGCUGAAUGAGGAUUGUAGCGAUUGAGACAGGAAGUGAUGUCACUGCGGGAACUGUUCUGCGUUGGGACGAGGACCGAGGACGUCUCUCCUCCUCUGCUUCUGCCUGUGACCCUGAUCGGGUAACGUUCCUACCCUGCCCUGACCCUCUGACUCUGCCAUGGGCACCAGGCUCCUCUGCUGGGCGGCUCUGUGUCUCCUGCAGACAGAUCACACAGAUGCUGGAGUCUCCCAGUCCCCCAGUAACAAGGUCAUAGAGAAGGGAAACGAUGUAGCUCUCAGGUGUGAUCCAAUUUCAGGUCAUACGGCCCUUUAUUGGUACCGACAGAGCCUGGGGCAGGGCCCAGAGUUUCUAAUUUACUUCCAAGGCAAGGAUAUAGCAGACGACUCGGGGCUGCCCAGUGAUCGGUUCUCUGCAGAGAGGUCUAGGGGAUCCGCCUCCACUCUGCAGAUCCAGCGCACAGAGCAGGCAGACUCAGCCGUGUAUCUCUGUGCCAGCAGCUUAGCCACAGCGUGACACAAUCGCCUC
This is a non-coding RNA of Callithrix jacchus (white-tufted-ear marmoset), 607 nucleotides long. NCBI's taxonomy places the organism in Eukaryota, Metazoa, Chordata, Mammalia, Primates, Cebidae. The record is from RefSeq and is a predicted model, not a curated record.